AAAAAGGUAAUUAAGGGCACUGAUAGUGGAUGCCUUGACAAUCAAUACCGAUGAAGGCCGUAGAAGUCUGCGAUAAGCCUCGGGGAUCUGACAGCGAGAAUUGAUCCGGGGAUUGCCGAAUGGGGAAACCUAAUAUGAGUCAUGUCAUAUUGUCGCUACCUGAACACAUAGGGUAGAUGAACGGGAACGGACCGAACUGAAUCAUCUUAGUAGGCCCAGGAAAAAAGAAUAACUAAUGAUUCCGAAAGUAGUGGCGAGCGAAAUUGGACUAGUCUAAACCUAAAGAUAACCAUACGGUUUAACGACCAGAGUUAUUAUAGGGGUUGCGAAAUUAGAUAAUUUUUAUGCUGAGUUGCCUUGACGGCAUUUCAGCAUAAAAACCAACAGCGUUAACUGAGUGGAUAAAGAUACAAUCCUUUAGAUCGUAGCAGAAGCUUCUGGAAUGGAGCACCAAAGAGGGUGAAAGUCC
This 469-nucleotide ribosomal RNA is filed under the name Candidatus Saccharimonadota bacterium. Its description in RNAcentral is "partial 23S ribosomal RNA". It matches the Rfam family "Bacterial large subunit ribosomal RNA", at positions 1 to 373 of the family's 2925-position model. Lineage: Bacteria; Candidatus Saccharimonadota. The record is from RNAcentral.